RNAcentral lists this ribosomal RNA (446 nucleotides) under uncultured bacterium. RNAcentral describes it as "partial 16S ribosomal RNA". It matches the Rfam family "Bacterial small subunit ribosomal RNA", at positions 330 to 792 of the family's 1533-position model. The record is from RNAcentral.
GCCAGACUCCUACGGGAGGCAGCAGUGGGGGAUAUUGCACAAUGGGGGGAACCCUGAUGCAGCGACGCCGCGUGGGUGAAGGAGCGUUUCGGCGCGUAAAGCCCUAUCGGCAGGGAAGAAGGAGGACGGUACCUGACUAAGAAGCCCCGGCUAACUACGUGCCAGCAGCCGCGGUAAUACGUAGGGGGCGAGCGUUAUCCGGAUUCACUGGGUGUAAAGGGAGCGUAGACGGCCAAGCAAGCCAGGGGUGAAAGCCCGGGGCCCAACCCCGGGACUGCUCUGGAAACUGUGCGGCUUGAGUGCGGGAGGGGCAGGCGGAAUUCCUAGUGUAGCGGUGAAAUGCGUAGAUAUUAGGAGGAACACCGGCGGCGAAGGCGGCCUGCUGGACCGUAACUGACGUUGAGGCUCGAAAGCGUGGGGAGCAAACAGGAUUAGAUACCCCAGUA